UUGUCCCAGCCGCCGCGGUAAUACGUAGGGUGCAAGCGUUAUCCGGAAUUAUUGGGCGUAAAGGGCUCGUAGGCGGUUCGUCGCGUCCGGUGUGGAAGUCCAUCGCUUAACGGUGGAUCCGCGCCGGGUACGGGCGGGCUUGAGUGCGGUAGGGGAGACUGGAAUUCCCGGUGUAACGGUGGAAUGUGUAGAUAUCGGGAAGAACACCAAUGGCGAAGGCAGGUCUCUGGGCCGUUACUGACGCUGAGGAGCGAAAGCGUGGGGAGCGAACAGGAUUAGAUACCCUGGUAGUCCACGCCGUAAACGGUGGAUGCUGGAUGUGGGGCCCGUUCCACGGGUUCCGUGUCGGAGCUAACGCGUUAAGCAUCCCGCCUGGGGAGUACGGCCGCAAGGCUAAAACUCAAAGAAAUUGACGGGGGCCCGCACAAGCGGCGGAGCAUGCGGAUUAAUUCGAUGCAACGCGAAGAACCUUACCUGGGCUUGACAUGUUCCCGACGAUCCCAGAGAUGGGGUUUCCCUUCGGGGCGGGUUCACAGGUGGUGCAUGGUCGUCGUCAGCUCGUGUCGUGAGAUGUUGGGUUAAGUCCCGCAACGAGCGCAACCCUCGCCCCGUGUUGCCAGCGGAUUAUGCCGGGAACUCACGGGGGACCGCCGGGGUUAACUCGGAGGAAGGUGGGGAUGACGUCAGAUCAUCAUGCCCCUUACGUCCAGGGCUUCACGCAUGCUACAAUGGCCGGUACAACGGGAUGCGACAGUGCGAGCUGGAGCGGAUCCCUGAAAACCGGUCUCAGUUCGGAUCGCAGUCUGCAACUCGACUGCGUGAAGGCGGAGUCGCUAGUAAUCGCGAAUCAGCAACGUCGCGGUGAAUGCGUUCCCGGGCCUUGUACACACCGCCCGUCAAGUCAUGAAAGUGGGCAGCACCCGAAGCCGGUGGCCUAACCCCUUGCGGGAGGGUGCCGUCUAAGGUGAGGCUCGUGAUUGGGACUAAGUCGUAACAAGGUAACCAAUCGA
RNAcentral lists this ribosomal RNA (1010 nucleotides) under uncultured Bifidobacterium sp. Its description in RNAcentral is "bacterial SSU rRNA". It matches the Rfam family "Bacterial small subunit ribosomal RNA", at positions 503 to 1507 of the family's 1533-position model. Lineage: Bacteria; Bacillati; Actinomycetota; Actinomycetes; Bifidobacteriales; Bifidobacteriaceae. The record is from RNAcentral.